CGAGCGGAAGAAGGGAGCUUGCUCCCGGAUGUUAGCGGCGGACGGGUGAGUAACACGUGGGUAACCUGCCUGUAAGACUGGGAUAACUCCGGGAAACCGGAGCUAAUACCGGAUAGUUCCUUGAACCGCAUGGUUCAAGGAUGAAAGACGGUUUCGGCUGUCACUUACAGAUGGACCCGCGGCGCAUUAGCUAGUUGGUGGGGUAAUGGCUCACCAAGGCGACGAUGCGUAGCCGACCUGAGAGGGUGAUCGGCCACACUGGGACUGAGACACGGCCCAGACUCCUACGGGAGGCAGCAGUAGGGAAUCUUCCGCAAUGGACGAAAGUCUGACGGAGCAACGCCGCGUGAGUGAUGAAGGUUUUCGGAUCGUAAAGCUCUGUUGUUAGGGAAGAACAAGUGCGAGAGUAACUGCUCGCACCUUGACGGUACCUAACCAGAAAGCCACGGCUAACUACAUGCCAGCAGCCGCGGUAAUACGUAGGUGGCAAGCGUUGUCCGGAAUUAUUGGGCGUAAAGGGCUCGCAGGCGGUUUCUUAAGUCUGAUGUGAAAGCCCCCGGCUCAACCGGGGAGGGUCAUUGGAAA
This 585-nucleotide ribosomal RNA is filed under the name Bacillus sp. CH119_4C. RNAcentral describes it as "bacterial SSU rRNA". It matches the Rfam family "Bacterial small subunit ribosomal RNA", at positions 63 to 632 of the family's 1533-position model. The record is from RNAcentral. Lineage: Bacteria; Bacillati; Bacillota; Bacilli; Caryophanales; Bacillaceae.